AUGGAGCAAGAUGAGCAGGAGACACUAAUGGAGCUAAAGAGGAGAACCAAGAUUGAGAACUUUAGGAAACAUAAGGAGGCAUCUGAGCAUGUUCAAAUGGUUAAGCAAAAACUACCAAUUCUUCUAACUGAAGAUGACUCUGAUCUGGAUGCAGAUGAGGACUUUGUUAACAGGCUUAAUGAUUUGAGGAGGCAGAGAGGGGACCCACUCCUUCAUUUUGAAGGAGACACUGAUGUGGAUGAAGUGUAUGGGGAAGAUGAGGAAGAGGAGCAAGUGGAGCAAGUGGAGGAGGAUGAGCAGAUGGAGCAUGAGGAGGAGGAGCAGGUGGAGCAACAACAGGAGCCACCAAAGAAGAAGGAAAAAAGAAAAGGGCCAACCAAGAGGUCACAUUCAAGCUUGGAGCAAAGAUUUGAGGAUGUGUGGAUACCAUCAUCAGAUGAGGAGAUAGAUGUAGGUGAUUUGAAGCAGGAAUAUGAUGAUGGAGCUGAGAAUGCACCUUAUAUUCUGCCCAAUGGAAGGAAGAGCAGAGCAUAUAAAGCACAACCAAGGAAAUGGUACAAUGAUGAAAGAGAGAACCCAGAGGAGCAGUUUUGUAGAAAGCUUUGUUUCCUUAAUGUGUACCAAUUUAGGAGAGCACUUCAGACAUUUCACAUAAGUCAGAAUAGGAAUUAUGACUUCCACAGAAACUGCAAUGACAGCAUCAUAGUUGUGUGCACUAAUGUAAAAUGUCCUUUCUACAAUGCAGCUUCUGUUGUUGCAAAUGAAAGUACUUUUUGCAUAAGAAAGGCUAAUUUUCUGCACACAUGCCCAGCAGUAGUAGAGAAUACCUAG
This 831-nucleotide ribosomal RNA is filed under the name Triticum aestivum (bread wheat). RNAcentral describes it as "partial small subunit ribosomal RNA". The record is from RNAcentral. Lineage: Eukaryota; Viridiplantae; Streptophyta; Magnoliopsida; Poales; Poaceae.